Molecule: ribosomal RNA, 484 nt
Filed under: uncultured bacterium
Lineage: Bacteria
Description: partial 16S ribosomal RNA
Rfam family: Bacterial small subunit ribosomal RNA
Source: RNAcentral
AUUGAACGCUGGCGGCAGGCCUAACACAUGCAAGUCGAGCGGAUGAAGGGAGCUUGCGCCUGGUUUCAGCGGCGGACGGGUGAGUAAUGCCUAGGAAUCUGCCUGGUAGUGGGGGAUAACGUCCUGAAACGGGCGCUAAUACCGCAUACGUCCUGAGGGUGAAAGUGGGGGAUCUUCGGACCUCACGCUCUCAGAUGAACCUAGGUCGGAUUAGCUAGUUGGUGGGGUAAGGGCCUACCAAGGCGACGAUCCGUAACUGGUCUGAGAGGAUGAUCAGUCACACUGGAACUGAGACACGGUCCAGACUCCUACGGGAGGCAGCAGUGGGGAAUAUUGGACAAUGGGCGAAAGCCUGAUCCAGCCAGGCCGCGUGUGUGAAGAAGGUCUUCGGAUUGUAAAGCCCUUUAAGUUGGGAGGAAGGGCAGUAAGUUGAUACCUUGCUGUUUUGACGGUACCAACAGAAUAAGCACCGGCUAACUUCGUG